AUAGGAAUCUGUAUUUGUGGACGUACAUAUCUGCGGCAGUGUUUGCCGGGCCAAAGAGUUGCUUACCUGCGGAGGCCGAGCUACCUGUGCCCAGGUAGGCGUAUGCAUGUGUGCCUGUGCCUUAUCCACAUCCUUCGUCUCUGCAGUGGAUGCAGCAGCCAGCGGUCAGCGGAGGCAGCGCAGCAUCGGCAGCGAACCAUCAUUAUGUCCAGGUUUUGAUGCCCUUCAUCCCCACCCAUCACGCGAUAAAUCUCCGGCUUACAAUCAGAAGAAAUGCUGCCAGAACAAAAGCACACAUGUCCAUUGCAAUGCCUUUGGGUCGCCUGUGAUUUGAAUAGCCACAU
Long non-coding RNA from Drosophila erecta, 344 nucleotides. RefSeq lists it as uncharacterized. The record is from RefSeq and is a predicted model, not a curated record. The transcript has 2 exons. Lineage: Eukaryota; Metazoa; Arthropoda; Insecta; Diptera; Drosophilidae.